CGCUUUCUUCUGCGGGCGACCGUCGUGGGGCGCGUCCCUCGAUUUUCCUCUUUGCCCGUGGACGGUCUCAGUUCCCGGGCAUUGUGCUCGGUGCCUUGUGCUGGUAUAGUGUGCGGGUAUACGGGUUGCUGUGUUUUGAUUGCUGCCCGCCCCCUUUCGUCGGGCGGCUGCUUUUCCGGCCCUGUCGGCGUGCCCCGGCGAGUUCUCGGACUCGUCCGGCGCGUCGGUUCGAUGCGGGCUCUCUCGGUUGCUGUGAUCGUUGCGAGGCCGGCGGGCCGUAAGGCCCGUCGUCCUUCCCUCGGUGCGUACGGACCGAGGCCUGCGCCCGAGAUGUGCGUGCGAUGUUCCGGUCGCGUCGCGACGCGUGCCUCUCCCCUCGAGGAGCGGCGGGCGUCGUCGCGCCGGAUGUCGCGUAGGACGGUGUUACCUGG
Molecule: unclassified non-coding RNA, 431 nt
Filed under: Trilepis ciliatifolia
Lineage: Eukaryota; Viridiplantae; Streptophyta; Magnoliopsida; Poales; Cyperaceae
Description: partial external transcribed spacer
Source: RNAcentral